CCAACUUAUAUAGUUAUCUUUAUUUUCAAAUUUUCUUAGGAUUUUCAAAUUUUCUUAGGCAUAUGGUAGAGUUUAGUUUCUACAACGCCUAGAACCAUCAGUAUUCUGUUCUCUAGCUAUAUUAAACAAGCUUAGUUUAAGCAGUAAUAAUCACAUAGUUCAAAAGAUAGUCCACGUUUCAUACUUUCAUCAUGUUCUUUUAGGUAUGUGACCCAACAUAGUUGCGUAGAAGUUCAUAUAAAGCAAUUAUUUGCUAUUGAAAUUACAGUUGUAUUAAACAAAGGAAAAUAGAAAUGAUCUUAUAUAUGGUGUAACCAGUAUGUUUAAGUUCAUGAAGAUCCUGAGGUUGAAAUUGAGAAGAAUGAUAUUGUGUAUUGCAGGAGAAUAAGCAUGGCAGGUCUCAGUACGAAGACGGUGCCUCACCUCGUUGACGCUAUCCAUGCUGCAGUUACCCGCGUCGUCUAAGCUAGUAGCGAUUGUUGUUUCGUCUAAUAAAAUGAAAAACGAUAAAAACAGAGCCUUCUUGGUUUUAUGCUUUGUAUUUUUCCGAUGGUUAUUCAUAUGUUUCCUUUUGACUGAGGAUGGUUGAACCAAUCAAACAGAGGAUUCUGAUUUGAAUUUUGCAAUGUUGAAUGAAAAUGUUGGUUAUUAUAAUUUGCAUUGUUAUCUAAUAUGUUGAUGUUCACUGAUUCUAUUGUCGGCUUCAUCAAGAGAUGAUUUAGAUUCAUUGCAUUUAAGGACAUUUACUUGGUGCCAAAUGGUGUAGAAACCGCAAUGAACAAAUCAACUCGUUGCGUACGGAUAACACUAUAUAUGUAACCUGUAACAUGUAGUUAUUGUUGUAAAUUUGAAAUGAUCACUACUUUUCAAAAUGAUAAAUUACACGACGUGAGUAAACGAUUAAAAACCAUAUCAUUCAGACAUUAAAAAUCAAUCCUUUUAAUUAGGAGGAUAUACGGAGAUGUUUUAGACUUGGUGAAGAGAGUCGGCCUCUUAGUCUUUACUUGCCCCCAACUAACUACGUUCGUCCCUCUUCUUAUCAUUUAAAAGAGAUUGACUAAAAAGUGUUGUCUAAGUCAACUGCUAUUUGAAAAUGAUGUUUAAUGCUUCAGUUUUUUACAGUUAUAAAAAACGUAAAAUAUUUACUGUUUAGAAUACAAUGCCAUGUAAAAAUAAAUAUGAUUUUACUGUUUUUAGAACUUGCUAUAGGUCUUAUCAGUACCAAUGAUUAAUCCGAAACCAAAUACAAUUAUACAUUUAAAACAUGCAAAUUUAUGAACAUGGACAUAUAAAGGACAAGAAAUACUUGAGCUCCACGAAGAAACAUGCAGCAUAAGUGAAACAGCACGGCUAGACCAACGGGAAGCUUAAAGAGCUCAAGAACACUGUAAAUGAGCUUACAUAAUCUAUUACAAAUUCGAAUUACAAAGGCAAAAACCAUAAUGGAACCAAAGAGGAGGGUAAUCAAGAGACUAUUGAAGAUUUCCAGAACCAAGAAGAUUAACAAGAACGCUUACGAGAUGACUUGUAGGACAAUCAGCAUGAUCAACUAUAUGUAAUGAACUUACAGCAUGAAGCGCUGGAUGAUUGGGUCACUAACCCCCAUAGGGGAGCUCUAGCAAACCCUCCAACCAGGAUUUAAAAUACUCAAGUAGAUUCAAAGCUUUCUAAGACAAUGUAUCAACCUCCAGUUAUAUAUAUAUAUAUGUAUAUAUAUUAAUAUAUACCACUUUUAUCUCUACUGUAUUUCUUCUCCGCUCCUACAUGUUUGUCAUCCCACCAAGAUUGUUUGAAGCAAGUAUGGAUAAGAGUUUCUUAUUAUUUGACUUUCUUUAUUUUAUUGUUCUGGUUUUAUGUCUUGGCAUUUUUUUCGUAGAAACGUGUACAAUAAAUUCGAAUAAAUAAAAAAGAAGGUCAACUAAGAGCUCAAGAUGAGUUGAGUAACAAAGAAUGAUUGAACAAUGCGGUAUGAUUUGUUUUGUAAGUGUAUAAAGGAUAUUAAUGUUCAACUUCUUGUAUCUUGAACAUAAUACAGUACCCUUUAUUAUCCUCUUAAUAUAUUUUUCACUCCAAACCCAUGAACAUGUUUAAUACACUCUUUAUUACGAUCACGCUUAAUUAGGAAGUAAUUGAUUUAAAAAGGUAGGUGGAUUUUAUUUUGAAAGUUUUGUGUUUGUUUUAUGGCAUAGAGUAGGAAACCAUUUGUGAUUUGCUUGAUAAAAUGGUUUCCUAUUCUAUGUCAUCACAAAUGGUUUCCUACUCUUUGUCUUCCUAAGAAAAAGCCAAUGAAGAAAAACAGAAUCGUAAAUACUCAAUCCUCUUUUCAUUUGUGAAAGAAAGUAGUUAUUAUCUAGCGCUUAAAAUCCUUUAUAUAACAGAGUCCUAUAUACUUAUUAUUACCUCAAUUGUUGUUGACAAUACUUGAUUUUCUAUUUGAAUAAUUUAGCUGAGGAAACUCAGUUGACAUCAUUAGUGUGAAUCAUGCAAAGAAAAAAGUAUCAAGUUGAGAAGAGAAACAUGUAUCAAUCUUCUGUUGCUACAUUCAUAAGCGAUGAAGUAGACGAACCUAUGAAUAGAAGAGAGAAAAAGAGCAAAUAAAAGAAGCAAUUAGUUGACUGAAAUUAUAUAGAAAAUAAAACAGUUAUAUAUAGAUGGGAAUCCACUCCGGCGUCUGUUACUCUAGCGUCCGAUGUAGGUGGGAAUCCACUCCGGCGUCCAGCCCUGAGCCAUCAAAAACUACUAAGAUCAUGUUGUCGGCGCACAACUCUCACCUCUUCCUCUGUUGUGGAGAGUACUUCACUACCAUGUCUCCUUUCUAUGAAUGGAGAAAAUACCUCGGAUUCUUUUCCGAGCUUUAAUUUCAGUUUACUCACCGGUUUGUUACCUUGUGGAGCGGUCUGUACGGGGCCUGAAGGUGCAAUCGAGACUACUUCGGUUUUUCUCGUUGGUGAGGACUGUCUCUCAACGUCACUUGUGACUAUUUCUCUGCUGUCCGACUUUGUCAUGCAAGCUUUAUCGACGCAUUCAAUCUUGGUAUUGAAUUCGCUGUCAACUGAAGAUUUAUCAUGCUUGAUUCUAUUUGCUAUUGUAGUUCACGAAUUGUCUCCAAGAGGAUGUUUAAUUCCCUUUUGGCUUUGUAGUCUUUGAAUUUGAGUUUUAAUGAAAGUUUGUGUUUCAAAAAAAAAAAAUAUAUAGAUGGCAUGACUUCCCUUUGAACGAACGUGGUGAUAGUGAUCGGAGAGAAUGUAGGGAUUUUUUUUUAUCAGUUUAAGAAAAUUAAGGCUCGUAAGAUCUUUUGCUUAAAGUUUUUAUUUUUCCUAUUACUAGAGGGUUUGUCCGGGCUACGCCCAGAUUUUUUCCUAUAAUAUUAUUAAGUUGAAUUAAACUUGCAAUGCUAAUUUCUAGUUAUAUGUAUAUAUCAGAAGUUUCCAUUUUUAAAGAAGGGUUAUGGUUGAUGUUAUUGGAUUCAACUGUUGUUAUAUUAUUUUUGUUAAUGAUGCUAUGCGCGGUUUGUAUAUCUGACUUUUCAGUUUUUAUCUUAUUACACUAUAUAUUAUCUUGUUGUUAUUUUAUUCUCAUGUCACCUAUUUUGAUCUUAUAUAUGGUAUGAUGUGAUUUUUGUAUUUUUUCCAUUUCCGUUUGAAUCUUGGAGUAGUAUAUAUUUUUACGAACUAGUUUAAAUAUUUUGAAUGGUAUUUUGACCACCAGUACUAAUUCACUACAUUGUUUGAUUAGUUUUGAAAUUACUCGUCGAAACAGAUUUGGAGAGAAGAGAAAUGGAAAAGGUGGAAGUCGAAAGGUGGGUGAAGAACAAAUUAGGGUUACGACAGUAAUAUACAUCUAUUGAGUAUGGUUUUAGUAUUAUUACUGUGAAUCGUUGACCUCUUUGGUUGUUCAUCAUAGAUAUAUUAGCAACACAACAUGCUUGUUAACAGGUACCUACGUUAAUGCAAUGUUGACAUCAGAGCUGAACAUUCAUAAAGCUACGGACAAUCAAAGACACGUCAACGUUACUUUAAUUAUUUAAUUCUUUAAGAGAAAUUUUCAGAAAAUCCAAAGAACCAAAGUUCAAAGUAGGGAAAAUAUAUGGAUAUAAUAAAUUAAAAUGAGACAAAAGCUAAGUGGAGUUGACGGUUUGAUAGCCUUGAUACUAUCACUCACGUGGGCGUUUGCGGGUUUUGUCGUUGCCUGCAGUCUGCAGAACCUGGCUGAUUUGCUCCAUCAUUUCCUAGUGCUAUCUUCGCCGCAUCACCAGCGGAGCUGGUCCAAGGUUUUUUUUUUAAUUAUUUAUUUCAAUGGGUUUUGUUCUUCACCUUCCUGUUUGCUACACCGACCUUAAUUUAGUCUGCGUUCUUUCAUGGUUAUUGCUUGAUGUCUUGAUGUGUCCAUCCACUUUUCUUUUCCAAAAAUGAUAAUUUCUCGAAGUGUACUGACCAUACUCUUGCAGUCUAACGUUUAGAAUAAGGAAAUAGAUCUUAAGAUUGCAUUCUGUCAACAAAUUUUAUUAAAAGGUAUAUCAUAUAGACUUGACCCUUGAUGCAAAAAUAAACAGGGUUGCUCGAGGAUCUUGGCGCUGCACCAUCUGGAGCUAUUGUCUUACUUCAUGCAUGUGCACACAAUCCCACUGGAGUUGACCCAACCCCCGAACAGUGGGAACAGAUUCGACAACUAAUUAGAUCCAAGAGCUUAUUGCCCUUUUUUGAUAGUGCAUAUCAGGUAACUCAUUCAAUAAGUCUUUGCUUCGUUGCUUUAUUCAACGGUUGGUUACAAACAAAUUAAACCAAGUAUACUUUAUGUUUAAAUUUGAUCUGAUCUAUUAUGUAUAAAACGAGAAGUCUGACUCUUAAUUUUCCUAUCACAUUUGCAGGGUUUUGCUAGUGGUAGCCUUGACACAGACGCACACUCUGUCCGUACGUUUGUUGCUGAUGGCGGUGAAUGCUUGAUAGCUCAAAGUUAUGCCAAAAAUAUGGGACUUUAUGGGGAGCGUGUUGGUGCCCUUAGCAUUGUAAGGAACCAAACGUCUCAGUUUCAUCUUUGAUUCUAUCCUUGUAUCCAUCUGCAUUAUUGUUAGAAGCACUUUCUAUGGGCUUGCUGUUUAUCCUCACAUAGUGGUUUUUGUAUAUUACACGAAUACAGUCUUUCGAAAACCGCAUCUAAUAUUUUUUUUUACCUAAUGUAAAGGUGUGCAAGUCGGCUGAUGUGGCUAGUAAGGUUGAGAGCCAGGUGAAACUUGUUGUGCGUCCCAUGUAUUCGAGCCCACCUAUUCAUGGAGCAUCAAUUGUUGCCACCAUUCUGAAAAGCAGGUAUAUGUUUAUCCUGUAAGGGGAGCAUCAAUUUACCCACUUUCAAAUAUUUUUGGUUGGGCAAGGGACCUUUAAAUCUGAGUUAAUGAAGUAGAAGUACACUUACGUUUAGAUGAUUAUGUGCAGAAAUAUUUACUAGAAUGGAAGCUUGCGUGAUAAUUUUUUUAGAGAUAUCUCUACCGUUUCUACCAUACGCAGUAGUUUGAUAGUCUAUUAUAUGUAGAUAUGGUUGUGCCAAGUAUCAUUCUCUGUGGAAUCAUGCAUAAUCACUAAAAUUUCAUUUGUGUUAUCAAGCUUGUAAUGAAUCUCUUUUUGGAUUUAGAAUCUGCUCCACGUUUCUAAACAUUCUUUGUUUACAUCUUGACAGCGAUAUGUACAACGACUGGACCAUCGAGCUGAAAGGAAUGGCUGACCGCAUAAUUAGCAUGCGCCAACAGUUAUUUGAAGCUCUACAAGCCAAAGGUUCAUUUUUAAUGCUUGUCUUCUCUCUUUUAUUCCAUCUUUAGUGGUGCCUAUUUUAUAAGCUCUUGCGCAUGAGACGUUGUCUGGCUUGCAGGAACACCUGGUGAUUGGAGUCACAUUAUCAAACAGAUUGGCAUGUUUACUUUUACCGGAUUGAACAAGGAGCAAGUUGCCUUCAUGACCAAAGAGUAUCACAUUUACAUGACAUCUGACGGGUGAGGCCAACUUAUAUAGUUAUCUUUAUUUUCAAAUUUUCUUAGGAUUUUCAAAUUUUCUUAGGCAUAUGGUAGAGUUUAGUUUCUACAACGCCUAGAACCAUCAGUAUUCUGUUCUCUAGCUAUAUUAAACAAGCUUAGUUUAAGCAGUAAUAAUCACAUAGUUCAAAAGAUAGUCCACGUUUCAUACUUUCAUCAUGUUCUUUUAGGUAUGUGACCCAACAUAGUUGCGUAGAAGUUCAUAUAAAGCAAUUAUUUGCUAUUGAAAUUACAGUUGUAUUAAACAAAGGAAAAUAGAAAUGAUCUUAUAUAUGGUGUAACCAGUAUGUUUAAGUUCAUGAAGAUCCUGAGGUUGAAAUUGAGAAGAAUGAUAUUGUGUAUUGCAGGAGAAUAAGCAUGGCAGGUCUCAGUACGAAGACGGUGCCUCACCUCGUUGACGCUAUCCAUGCUGCAGUUACCCGCGUCGUCUAAGCUAGUAGCGAUUGUUGUUUCGUCUAAUAAAAUGAAAAACGAUAAAAACAGAGCCUUCUUGGUUUUAUGCUUUGUAUUUUUCC
This 6534-nucleotide long non-coding RNA is filed under the name Brassica napus (rape). RNAcentral's name for it is "long non-coding RNA (BNAP_LNC021855)". Lineage: Eukaryota; Viridiplantae; Streptophyta; Magnoliopsida; Brassicales; Brassicaceae. The record is from RNAcentral.